RNAcentral lists this long non-coding RNA (236 nucleotides) under Linum usitatissimum (flax). Its description in RNAcentral is "long non-coding RNA (LUSI_LNC004761)". Lineage: Eukaryota; Viridiplantae; Streptophyta; Magnoliopsida; Malpighiales; Linaceae. The record is from RNAcentral.
CGACUCCGAAACCAAUUUCGCGCCAUCGGCGCGACGCAGACGGGAACGUUCACGGCAGAAAUAGUAUUUACAAUCGACAAGUAAUAAUCAAGGAGAUUGUUACGUAACUAAACUAAAAGAAAGACAAGAGAAUAUGGAGGAGGAGAGAGUUUUUUAUUGAGGUAUAGAAAUGAUACAAGAGAGCACUAUAUAUAGGCUCUAGAAUUCAUAACAUAUACAUCACUAGUAUAACUACA